GAUGAACGCUGGCGGCGUGCCUAAUACAUGCAAGUCGAGCGAACGGACGAGAAGCUUGCUUCUCUGCUGUUAGCGGCGGACGGGUGAGUAACACGUGGAUAACCUACCUAUAAGACUGGGAUAACUUCGGGAAACCGGAGCUAAUACCGGAUAAUAUUUUGAACCGCAUGGUUCAAAAGUGAAAGACGGUCUUGCUGUCACUUAUAGAUGGAUCCGCGCUGCAUUAGCUAGUUGGUAAGGUAACGGCUUACCAAGGCAACGAUGCAUAGCCGACCUGAGAGGGUGAUCGGCCACACUGGAACUGAGACACGGUCCAGACUCCUACGGGGGGCAGCAGUAGGGAAUCUUCCGCAAUGGGCGAAAGCCUGACGGAGCAACGCCGCGUGAGUGAUGAAGGUCUUCGGAUCGUAAAACUCUGUUAUUAUGGAAGAACAUAUGUGUAAGUAACUGUGCACAUCUUGACGGUACCUAAUCAGAAAGCCACGGCUAACUACGUG
Molecule: ribosomal RNA, 497 nt
Filed under: uncultured bacterium
Lineage: Bacteria
Description: partial 16S ribosomal RNA
Rfam family: Bacterial small subunit ribosomal RNA
Source: RNAcentral